ACUUGUCAGGCUUGACUUUCCUUGUUGACGCAAUACACGGAGGGGAUGUGCCGCAACACUGCAGCUAAAGCAGGGAGGAUGUAGGCACUUGCACAGCCAUACCAGUGACAAAUGUAAUGGCUGCACCGCUUGUUUGGGUGGAACAAAAGCAGGGGGAUGUGGGCACUUGCACAGCCAUACCAGUGACAUGUAAUGGCUGCACCGCUUGUUUGGGUGGUUCAUGAAUAACAACAUAAUGAAGUUAAAUAAACGCAAAUUUUUGUGAAAGGAGGAGCAAAGGGAUUUACGUUGUAGCAUUGUUUGAGUGACCACUAUGUGUAUUAAGUACAGAAGUGACUUAUACUAGAAGCACCGCAGGAUAGCAAAGCUGCGUUAAAAAGACACUUAGUGUUGACAAACUUGUCUUGCAGGAAAGAUAAGGAACGGUGCAAACGAAAGCAGGAGCUAGACUAGAGGAAUAAUGGCAGAGGUGACGCAGCAAGAUGGUGAGGAAGACAGCAGAGGAGAAUAUGACUGGGGCAGGAGGUGGUUAGUUAAAGCAAGCACAGGGCCAGUGUAGUGAAGGCCUCUGCUCUCACCAGCACUGUCAGCUAAGGCCACAGAGGUCACUGGUCGGGUUUUUUAGUGUUUCUCCUGUCAGUAAUGUAAAAAAAAAAAAAAAUGUUAAUCUGUCACUAGAAGCGUCAAAACCUCCUUAGUAGCCCGUCUCACUUGAAGCAGAGCCUUGUGGCUGUAGUGGUGGUGCGGUGCAGAAAGGCUGCACAACACUAGCUUGCGUAGAGGCGAGAGGCGAUGGAACGCUUCAUUGUGGAAUGGUGUAGAUGUGAGCGACACAGAGGCACACUUUUAGAGAGGCAAUUCUGGGAGCCACAGGUGAACCAGCGUGGUGGUGGCAGACCACACCAGACAAAGGAGGAGGUGCUUACACACAGAGGCACGCUGGCAGUGCUGCCAGUGUGUCGUGGCAAGGAAGAAAGGGAAGGGACCCUAAAAGAGAUGAAAAAGUCCCUUGUGCACGCCUGGGAAGUACGCCUGAGGGAGUUUAGGUGUUAAAUUAGAGGAGACAUGUCGACUCUGUGCUCUCUAGCGGCUGACCUGCGGAAGACGUCACGAGAACAACAAGAUCAAGAUUAAGAACAUCGUCAUUGUUGCCUUGUUUACCUUUGUCACAGUGGUCCUCCUCCUGCUGUCCGUGUGUCUGUGUGUGUGUGUCUUUUGAAGGCACCUCUCAGGUCGCUGCUGUCUCCUCUGCCUGGUGAGUGGGGGCUCUCUCUCUCUCUCUCUCUCUCUCUCUCUCUCUCUCUCUCUCUCUCUCUCUCUCUCUCUCCUUCCUUGGGCUCUUUUCCCGUAUCUCCUCCUCCUCCUCCCCCUCCUCUUCUUGUUUGUUUGGUCAGUCUUUCCUUGCCAUCCAACUCUCUCUCUUGUAUCCUCCCCACAGUAGCAGAAUAGGAGAGCAUCUAGCUCUCGUUCCCACAGUCAACAACGGCCCACCCUUGAGAGGAGUUGGACGUAUGGUCAGGAGGCAGACACAUGGAAGAGACUGGGUGGCAGGGAAGUGAAAUGUGUGGGACUGAAUGAAUGGAAGAAUGAGAUAGAAAGAAAGAAGACCUUGGAAUGGUACAAGGAGAAAGAGGCCCCGAGGUAUGAAAGGUGGUAUGAUGGAAGCCUGGGCGGUGAUCUUCUCUUCCGAGCGAGGGCACAGUGUAUGGAUGUGAAUGCAAGGAGUUACAGGUGGUCUGAGUCCCGCAGCAAAGUGUGCCAGAUGUGUGACAUGGGAGAGGAUGAGACGGUGGAACAUGUGGUGCUGGAGUGUGUGAAGUAUGCCAGAGACAGGAAUGAGAUGAUGCAAGUGAUACUGACUGAGUUAGGGCAUGAUAGGAAUGAAAGAGUGGAGAAGACAGGAAAGGAAUGGAUGGUGUUGGUGCUGGGACUGUGUAGAGAGGCGAAUGAAAGGAUGAUUGAGGCGGUGAAAGAGUUUCUGGAGAGAAUGUGGCGUGCCAGGUGUAUGAACAAUUAGGAUAGAGGAUGCUGUUCGUUUCUCUUUUUUUCCCCUUUCUACAGGAGUUGCCGAUCCAAAGGCCUGGCUCAGGAGUAAUCCUGUGCCACCUGCACCAUCAAGAUCAAGAUCGAGAGAGAGAGAAAAAGAGAGGCCAUGUUUGAGCUAGUUCACUUAUCUGUGGUUCCUCUCCCCCUCUCUCUCUCUCUAAUUAGAGCGAAAAUGGCAGCGGAGGAGCUCAAGGAUGAAGCCAACGACUAUUUGAAAAAAUUAAGAAAAUUGAAGGCUUCUCUCAGACAUGAACAAAGAAGAGCAAUUCUUGACAAACAGGCAAACAAACAAACAAACAAACAAGGACAGCGUUGAGUCUCGCAGGUCACACCAGCCUCUCGGAAACUUGCUUGCUUCACCUGGCAAUUGUGAACCACCAAGCAAAAACCGAGCCACCCUAUUGGUCGACAGGGGAUCACCAUCAACCCUCCCAUUGGCCCAGAGCUUCGUGGAUUGUGAUUGGACGGCUGGCUAGCUGACCUGACUUGACCUGACCUCAACUGAGCCAACAUGAUUUACGUUUUCCUUGUUGACACUGGCACCACGAUGACCUUUGACAUGAACCUGGCACUAGAGAGUGUUGAGGUGGUGAAGGGUGCAAUACACAAUGUUGUCAAGAUGCCCCCAGACAAGCAGGUGCUGCUGGCCUCUGAGGGUGAAACACUGGACUCCUGCAAGCGGGUUUGUCAUUACUCGGCCGGCACAGACACGUCCCCCAUCUUUUUGUUCUCCAAGGUGGCCAUUGAGGGAGCAGCCCCGCAACCCCCUCUGUGCAGCCUGGCAGGGAUGGCGAUCUCAGGGCACAGGUGGAGGGGCGCCUCAACAUGCCAGCCACUUACAACAGUGUGGUGGCGCAGACACAGUUAGCACAGCAGUUUUACGAGCACGCCAGUGAGGUCACCAGAACGUGCCGCCAACUUGUUCACAACCAGCAUCUGCAGCAACAAGGCUGGGCAGUAGUGGUGGCCAACUUGGAAGACGUGGCAGCCUUCAGAGCAAGACAUGAUGCAUUCCAGCAAAACUUUGUAAUCUCAGUGGCCGGGAGGAGAAGGUCGCCCUGCUUCAGUUUUUUGAAGAGGACCUGAAGCUACUGGCAAGGAUUCCAGUCUUCCCUGAACUCUUGGGAAAGACACAAGAGGAAGAGGAAGAGGAGGUAGCUGAGAAGAAGAGGACAAGCACAGCACAGAAGAAAGAGGAGGAGGAAGAGAAGGAAGAGGAGGAGGAGGAGGAGGAAGAAGAGGAAGAGCAUGAGGAGAAGAGAGCAGGAGGAGGAGGAAAAGCAGGAGGAGAAGGAAGAAAAAGAGAAAUGAGUUAAGUGUCACUGCUGGACUGGAUCAGCGCCAAGGACAGCCAAAGUGACGUCAGACAUUGCCCAACUCUGCUGCAGAGGACUGGCCCAGCUGUGUGUGUGUGUGUGUGUGUGCACCAGGGUGUCAGGGUGUCAGGUAUUCACACCCAAUUCUUGCUGCAUAAUUGUGUUUCUGCAGGAUUGAAUCAAGUUUGUAAUCUUGCGUUGUUUAACGAGUUCUCAAAUUUGUCUUUAAUCUGGCUCCCCCUCCCCCUGUGUUAGAAUAUUGCAUGUUUCCAAGGCCACAGGGACGCUUAGACAGGUUCUCAAGUGUUUCCUGUUACUAAUGCAGAAAUGUUGUUAAUCCGUCACUGCAACUGUAAAAACACCCUUGAAAACCUGCAUCACUUCAACUAAAGCCUUAUAAAAGAAUGUUUCUCCUGUCAGUACCGCAGAAAUGUUGUUAAUCUGUCACUGCAACUGUAAAAACACCCUUGAAAACCCGAGUCACUUCAACUACAGCCUUUUAAAAGAAUGUUUCUCCUGUCAGUACUGCAGAAAUAUUGUUAAUCUGUCACUGUAACUGUAAAAACACCCUUGAAAAUCUGCAUCACUUCAACUACAGUCUUUUAAAAGUGUUUCUCCUGUCAGUAACGCAAAAAUGUUAAUAUGUCACUGCAACUGUAAAAACACUCUUGAAAACCCACGUCACUUUAACUAGAGCCUUUUAAAAGAAUUGUUCUCCUGUGAGUAAUGCAGAAAUGUUAAUCUGUCACUGCAAAUGUAAAAACACCCUUGAAAACCUGCAUCAUUUCAGCUACAGCCUUUUAAAAGAAUGUUUCCCCUGUCAGUAAUGCAGAAAUGUUGUUAAUCUCACUACAACUGUAAAAACACCCUUGAAAACCCACUUCACUUGAACUAAAAACACACACACACACACACAAACACACAGCACUAGUACUGCUGUUGCCACACAGAUCAGUGAGGGGCUGCUGGAACAAGUGGGGCAAGAGGUCAGUGCUGUGCUUCAAGAGGCAGACCAGCCACAGAUGAAUGCUUGACUCACCAUACUCAUCAUCAACCUGUGUCCUGUACUUUGUGUAUAAUAUCUUUGAGUCUUGAAUCUAAUACACUCCUCACUGUUCACUUGUACAUGUUGAGCCUCACUACAUUCACGCAGGUCGGAACAAAAUUAAGUUUGUCCAUUUUGUGUGUCCAUUCUUUAUUGUGGCCAUUGUACAAGAUGCAACAUUUGUGUAUGUGUGUGUGUGUGUGAGGGGGUCACUUAUUGGUGAGUCACUGUGGGUUUGUAAACAUACUGUGGGGGGACAUACUGUGGCACUGUGGGCUGAGGUGAGGUGAGAGAGAGAGAGAGAGAAAGGGGGGACAGCAUCAGUGAAACAAAGCAGAUGUUGUUGAUUGUUGAUGAUGCAGGGGAGAGGUGGUGUUAUUCAGUGUCCUUCAUUGCACAAGAUGUUGUUGUUAUUGAUUGGCAACCAAGCCUGGCUGGCGUGGGCCUUGUCAUGUGGCCCACAGGUAAUUCUUAGUGGUCAGUCUAUUGGUGAGUACAGCUGAGCGCUGCCUGAUUGCACGAGAGGUAUUGUUCAUAGUUGUUCAUUGUAGGUGAGGGAAGACACAGUAUGUUGAGGGAAGGCAGCAGCUGUGGAGGAGUGAACAGCUGCACCACUGACAGCAGCAGCAGCAGCAGCAGAGCCCCACCACUGUUGAAUACUUCUACUACCACUACUAACUACUGCUGAUGUUUUUCUCCUUCUCCCAGCACAGCAGCAGACUCGGGUACUGUUACAGCUCUGCUCCCUCCUACAGGACACGUUCCCAUCACCUUCACGUCCUGGACACGUGCACAAACUUGUGCCUGGGCAGUCUCACUGCAGCAACUGCCAGUGCUGUGGCUGGGUGGCAGGAGGGAGGGACAAGCUGGCCACCCUCUCUGUCACCACCUGCUGGGGAAAGACCACCAUUAUCAUCAUCUUUGUUUUCCUUUUUUUUUUUUUUUUUUUUUUUUUUCUUCACAGUUUACAAGGAAUAUUAACAGUUUGUUUUUAAUGUCUGUUUGUUAUUAAAUGAUGUGUUGAUUGUGUUGUUGUUUAUAUGUUAGGUGUUGUUGUCUUUUGUAUGUGUGACUGAUGAAUAAAGGCAGUCCACACUUA
Molecule: long non-coding RNA, 5506 nt
Organism: Scylla paramamosain (green mud crab)
Lineage: Eukaryota; Metazoa; Arthropoda; Malacostraca; Decapoda; Portunidae
Exons: 10
Source: RefSeq, a predicted model, not a curated record